CUGAGGAGCGCGUCCGGGUCAAUUGCGGCCUGCAACACCCGAUCUCCCUGCCGGUGCCUCCAGGAAUGGAGGUGCCGCGCGAGGGGGAACGCGUGACUAUCAG
This 103-nucleotide non-coding RNA is filed under the name unclassified sequences. The record is from Rfam.